RNA transcript from Chenopodium quinoa (quinoa), 1440 nucleotides. It is a transcript of the gene named hydroxyproline O-arabinosyltransferase 3-like, with no coding region annotated. The record is from RefSeq and is a predicted model, not a curated record. Lineage: Eukaryota; Viridiplantae; Streptophyta; Magnoliopsida; Caryophyllales; Amaranthaceae. The transcript has 8 exons.
UUUGGUUUACAUUCAUUUUUCUUAUAAAAUCUUUCUAAAGUUUCAAUAUUUUUUCAUGUGAUAAAGUAAUAAACCAUACUUGUACAAUAAUGAAUCGGAGAAUUAGAAUGGGAAGGGGAGCUAUGUUUUUGUAUGUGGUACUAGCUUUUGGGUUUUGUAUAGCCAUAUGUAACUUCUCUACUCUAUUGUUGAUAAGAAGUCAACCAAAAGUGUUAAGUAGUUACGGGCCGGAUCGACGUGUUGAACCGGUUAUCAACAUGGCCAUGGACCCGGAUCAGGGCGUGGGCCUAAACCGGCUGAAGUUUCAUGUAGCGGUAACAGCCACGGAUUCACUCUAUAGCAAAUGGCAGUGCAGGAUAAUGUACUAUUGGUACAAGAGAGUUAAAGAUUUGCCCGGGUCCGAUAUGGGUGGGUUUACCCGGGUUUUGCAUUUGGGUCAUUCUGAUACUUUGAUGGAGGAGAUCCCUUCCUUUGUGGUGGAUCCUCUUCCUGAGGGUGUUGAUCAGGGAUACAUUGUGUUAAACAGACCAUGGGCUUUUGUUCAAUGGUUAGAAAAGGCAAAAAUCGAGGAAGAAUAUAUUUUGAUGGGUGAACCAGACCAUCUAUUUGUGAAGCCCUUGCCUAACUUGGCACAAGGAAAAAACCCGGCAGCAUAUCCGUUUAUCUACUUCAAACCCGAAGAAAACGAGAACAUCAUUCGUAAGUUUUACCCGAUAGGAUCCAUAUUGAAUGUGGAUCCUAUUGGAAGCUCACCAGUUAUAAUAGCAAAGUCAUUGCUAAAAGAAAUCGCGCCUACAUGGAUGAAUAUAUCUUUGCAAAUAAAAAGAGAUCCAGAGGCGGAUAGUACCUUUGAUUGGGUGCAAGAAAUGUAUGCAUAUGCCAUAGCUUCAGCAUUGCAUGGUGUGAAGCACAAUAUUCAUGUAAAUUUCAUGGUGCAGCCUCCAAGGGACUGGAAUAUUGGUAGUAGUUACAUCAUCCAUUAUACUUAUGGUUGUGAUUAUAACAAGAAGGGAGGAGCUUACUUAUGGAAAGAUCACUGAUUGGCAUUUUGACAAGAGAUCGUUUCAAGACGGUCCUCCACCCAAGGAUCUUACUCUGCCUCCUCCUGGAGCUCCUGAGACUGUGGUAAGAUUAAUGUCUAUGGUGAACGAAGCCACAGCCAAAAUACCUGGUUGGGAAAAUCUGUAAUAACACAUUGACACAUUCUCUGAGAAUAACAUACAUGCAUGGAAACUCUUAUACAAAGCAUAGGACUACUAUUGAGAUUUUGUUGAGGCGCAAAGUUACAUACGAAGUGUAGCAGUGCAGAAGAUAUAUGAACAGAGAAGCUUAAACGCGAUACAGGUGUGACAGUCCAUGCGCGGUGCAUAGGUGUAUUCUUAAAGAAAUGUUUAUAUUUCCCAUAUUUAUGAUAAUGUUACACUCCAAAUUACACCAAAA